UUAAAUGUUGUUUAUUUUAUUUUGGUUGUUGUUUGUUUUAUUUAAUUGUUUGUUAUUUUAUUUAAUUGUUAGAAUUGUUUGUAGAAUUUUUGUGAAAUUAUUUGUUAAAUGAUAAUUAUUUAUUUUUUUUAUUUUUUUAUUUUUAAAAAUGUGAUUAUGUGAGAUUUGGUUGAAUGCACUAAGGUCCAUGGUAGAUAGUGAUGUACCCUAGUGAUUUAGUGUGUGCUAGUGCAUGGUAGCAUGGUACACAUGUGUAGAUUUUCUACACACUCUAUACUUCCUUAUUUUAGAUUUUGUUAGAAUUAAUUUAAAAUAUAAAUGGAAAGGGAAACCAUAGUGGACGUGUGGCUUAGAGUGGGAAAGGAAGAGGAUUAUUUCAAUAUAUUUUAUUAUUCCAAUAAAUUAAAAAUAAGGUGAUAAUGCUAUUUUGGGAUAGGAAUGUGAUCACCAUUUUAUCUCCUAUAUCAAUUGUGAUAAAAGAAAAUAAUAAGAAAUUAAAAGAAAAUAAAAAGAGAAAGGAAACUUACCUUUUUCUUUUAUUGAGUCAUUAUGAGAGAAUUAGGUUAAAGAGGGAAUGGAAAUAUUGGAAGAGCAUUAUGCUCUUGGGGCUGUCGUGUGUUGAAGAGAGGAAGAGAGAGAGAGAGUGGCGAGCUAGAGAGAGAAAGGGGAAGGGGCUGCCAUUUUCUAGAGAGAAUGAGGAAAGCAAGAAGAAGAAGGAGAAGAGAAACCAAGUCUAGAGUUUGAACAAGGGGUGGUAAAAUUUGGUAUUGGUCACCUUGUGUUCUUGAUUCUAUCAAUCAAGAAAGGUAGAAAAUAGGUUUCUCUAUAGCACGCGUGGUGAUGUGGGGAGUUCUAUCAUCGUGGUGUGUAUGGUGUGGGGGCAUCCUAUGGACGAGAAACAAUAACCCUUUAAACGCCAUUUUUAAUAAUGUUAUGUUUAAUGGGAUUUUUCUUAAAAUUAUGAGUGGGACAAACUUUUGUUUGUUUUAGAACUUUGCAUAAAAUUGAUAUUUUCUUUUUAAACUUUUGGGCCCAACUUGCAUGUUUUAAGCGAGACCCCACUGAAACCUUUAUAAUAAGUGGCUUUUUAUUAUAAACCAUUGAAAAUAUGAAUAUUUUAUUAAGUACUAGUUAAGGGCGUUUUACAAUGGCAUUUGU
Long non-coding RNA from Humulus lupulus (European hop), 1158 nucleotides. RefSeq lists it as uncharacterized. Lineage: Eukaryota; Viridiplantae; Streptophyta; Magnoliopsida; Rosales; Cannabaceae. The transcript has 3 exons. The record is from RefSeq and is a predicted model, not a curated record.